This 498-nucleotide ribosomal RNA is filed under the name uncultured bacterium. RNAcentral's name for it is "partial 16S ribosomal RNA". It matches the Rfam family "Bacterial small subunit ribosomal RNA", at positions 28 to 508 of the family's 1533-position model. The record is from RNAcentral.
GAUGAACGCUGGCGGCGUGCCUAAUACAUGCAAGUCGAGCGAACGGACGAGAAGCUUGCUUCUCUGAUGUUAGCGGCGGACGGGUGAGUAACACGUGGAUAACCUACCUAUAAGACUGGGAUAACUUCGGGAAACCGGAGCUAAUACCGGAUAAUAUUUUGAACCGCAUGGUUCAAAAGUGAAAGACGGUCUUGCUGUCACUUAUAGAUGGAUCCGCGCUGCAUUAGCUAGUUGGUAAGGUAACGGCUUACCAAGGCAACGAUGCAUAGCCGACCUGAGAGGGUGAUCGGCCACACUGGAACUGAGGCACGGUCCAGACUCCUACGGGAGGCAGCAGUAGGGAAGCUUCCGCAAGGGGCGAAAGCCUGACGGAGCAACGCCGCGUGAGUGAUGAAGGUCUUCGGAUCGUAAAACUCUGUUAUUAGGGAAGAACAUAUGUGUAAGUAACUGUGCACAUCUUGACGGUACCUAAUCAGAAAGCCACGGCUAACUACGUGC